GAACGGGUGAGUAAUACAUAAAUAAUCUACCAUAAUGACUGGGAUAACCAAUGGAAACGCUGGCUAAUACCGGAUAGGUAAAACGAGGGCAUCUUUGUUUUAUUAAAGUAGGGCUACUACACAAUAUGAUGAGUUUAUGGCGCAUUAGCUAGUUGGUGAGGUAACGGCUCACCAAGGCGAUGAUGCGUAGCCGACCUGAGAGGGUGACCGGCCACACUGGGACUGAGACACGGCCCAGACUCCUACGGGAGGCAGCAGUAGGGAAUUUUCGGCAAUGGGCGCAAGCCUGACCGAGCAACGCCGCGUGAGUGAAGAAGGCCUUCGGGUUGUAAAGCUCUGUUGUAAGGGAAGAACACUUUUUAGAGGAAAUGCUAGAGAGCUGACGGUACCUUACCAGAAAGCCACGGCUAACUACGUGCCAGCAGCCGCGGUAAUACGUAGGUGGCGAGCGUUAUCCGGAAUUAUUGGGCGUAAAGGGUGCGUAGGCGGUUUAUUAAGUCUGUGGUGAAAGUGCGGGGCUCAACCCCGUAUGGCCACAGAAACUGAUAGACUAGAGUACAGGAGAGGGCAGUGGAAUUCCAUGUGUAGCGGUAAAAUGCGUAGAUAUAUGGAGGAACACCGGUGGCGAAGGCGGCUGCCUGGCCUGGAACUGACGCUGAGGCACGAAAGCGUGGGGAGCAAAUAGGAUUAGAUACCCUAGUAGUCCACGCUGUAAACGAUGAUUACUAAGUGUUGGAGAAAUUCAGUGCUGCAGUUAACGCAAUAAGUAAUCCGCCUGGGGAGUAUGCACGCAAGUGUGAAACUCAAAGGAAUUGACGGGACCCCGCACAAGCGGUGGAGUAUGUGGUUUAAU
This 853-nucleotide ribosomal RNA is filed under the name uncultured bacterium. RNAcentral's name for it is "bacterial SSU rRNA". It matches the Rfam family "Bacterial small subunit ribosomal RNA", at positions 100 to 950 of the family's 1533-position model. The record is from RNAcentral.